This 341-nucleotide ribosomal RNA is filed under the name uncultured Sphingobacteriales bacterium. Its description in RNAcentral is "bacterial SSU rRNA". It matches the Rfam family "Bacterial small subunit ribosomal RNA", at positions 1043 to 1382 of the family's 1533-position model. The record is from RNAcentral. Lineage: Bacteria; Pseudomonadati; Bacteroidota; Sphingobacteriia; Sphingobacteriales.
GCAGUGGUUGUCGUCAGCUCGUGCCGUGAGGUGUCGGGUUAAGUCCCAUAACGAGCGCAACCCCUACCUUUAGUUGCCAUCAGGUAAUGCUGGGGACUCUAAAGGAACUGCCUACGCAAGUAGUGAGGAAGGCGGGGAUGACGUCAAAUCAGCACGGCCCUUACGUCCAGGGCUACACACGUGCUACAAUGGCCGAUACAGAGGGCAGCUACCUGGUGACAGGAUGCAAAUCUCCAAAGUCGGUCUCAGUUCGGAUCGGAGUCUGCAACCCGACUCCGUGAAGUUGGAUUCGCUAGUAAUCGCGCAUCAGCCAUGGCGCGGUGAAUACGUUCCCGGGCCUU